GCAGGUACGGCGACAUGGUCCCGAAGACGAUCAUGGGGAAGAUCUUCGGCUCGGUGUGUUCUCUCAGCGGCGUGCUCGUCAUCGCUCUGCCGGUUCCCGUCAUCGUCUCCAAC
Larimichthys crocea (large yellow croaker) is the source of this 113-nucleotide non-coding RNA. The record is from Rfam. NCBI's taxonomy places the organism in Eukaryota, Metazoa, Chordata, Actinopteri, Sciaenidae.